CACAGGUGGUCAGGUAGAGAAUACCAAGGCGCUUGAGAGAACUCGGGUGAAGGAACUAGGCAAAAUGGUGCCGUAACUUCGGGAGAAGGCACGCUGAUAGGUAGGUGAAGUCCCUGCGGACGGAGCUGAAAUCAGUCGAAGAUACCAGCUGGCUGCAACUGUUUAUUAAAAACACAGCACUGUGCAAACACGAAAGUGGACGUAUACGGUGUGACGCCU
Molecule: ribosomal RNA, 219 nt
Filed under: Enterobacter cloacae
Lineage: Bacteria; Pseudomonadati; Pseudomonadota; Gammaproteobacteria; Enterobacterales; Enterobacteriaceae
Description: partial 23S ribosomal RNA
Rfam family: Bacterial large subunit ribosomal RNA
Source: RNAcentral